Molecule: ribosomal RNA, 486 nt
Filed under: uncultured bacterium
Lineage: Bacteria
Description: partial 16S ribosomal RNA
Rfam family: Bacterial small subunit ribosomal RNA
Source: RNAcentral
AUUGAACGCUGGCGGCAUGCCUUACACAUGCAAGUCGAACGGCAGCACGGGUGCUUGCACCUGGUGGCGAGUGGCGAACGGGUGAGUAAUACAUCGGAACAUGUCCUGUAGUGGGGGAUAGCCCGGCGAAAGCCGGAUUAAUACCGCAUACGAUCUACGGAUGAAAGCGGGGGACCUUCGGGCCUCGCGCUAUAGGGUUGGCCGAUGGCUGAUUAGCUAGUUGGUGGGGUAAAGGCCUACCAAGGCGACGAUCAGUAGCUGGUCUGAGAGGACGACCAGCCACACUGGGACUGAGACACGGCCCAGACUCCUACGGGAGGCAGCAGUGGGGAAUUUUGGACAAAGGGCGAAAGCCUGAUCCAGCAAUGCCGCGUGCGUGAAGAAGGCCUUCGGGUUGUAAAGCACUUUUGUCCGGAAAGAAAUCCUUGGCCCUAAUACGGUCGGGGGAUGACGGUACCGGAAGAAUAAGCACCGGCUAACUACGUG